GACGAACGCUGGCGGCGUGCUUAACACAUGCAAGUCGAACGGAAAGGCCCUGCUUUUGUGGGUUUCUCGAGUGGCGAACGGGUGAGUAACACGUGAGUAACCUGCCCUUGACUUUGGGAUAACUUCAGGAAACUCCGGCUAAUACCGGAUAUGAUCUCCUGCUCCAUGUUGGUGGUUGGAAAGUUUCGGCGGUUGGGGCUGGACUCGCUGCUUAUCCGCUUGUUGGUGGGGUAGGGGCUUACCAAGGCUUUGACGGGUAGCCGGCCUGAGAGGGUGACCGGCGACAUUGGGACUGAGAGACGGCCCAGACGCCAACGGGAGGCAGCAGGGGGGAAUAUUGCACAAUGGGGGGAAGCCUGAGGCAGAAACGCUGCGUGCGGGAUGACGGGUUUCGGGUGGUAAACAGCUGUCGCAUGUGACGAAGAGUGAGUGACGGUAAUGGGUAAAGAAGCACCGGCUAACUACGUG
This 468-nucleotide ribosomal RNA is filed under the name uncultured bacterium. RNAcentral's name for it is "partial 16S ribosomal RNA". It matches the Rfam family "Bacterial small subunit ribosomal RNA", at positions 28 to 507 of the family's 1533-position model. The record is from RNAcentral.